This 158-nucleotide ribosomal RNA is filed under the name uncultured Anoxynatronum sp. RNAcentral's name for it is "partial 16S ribosomal RNA". It matches the Rfam family "Bacterial small subunit ribosomal RNA", at positions 359 to 537 of the family's 1533-position model. The record is from RNAcentral. Lineage: Bacteria; Bacillati; Bacillota; Clostridia; Eubacteriales; Clostridiaceae.
GGGUUGCCAUGGCGCAGUCUGAUGCAGCAACGCCGCGUGAGUGAGAAGGCCUUCGGGUCGUAAAGCUCUGUCCUAUGGGAAGAACAUGUGACGGUACCAUGGGAAGAGGCCCCGGCUAACUACGUGCCAGCAGCCGCGGUAAUAGCGUGAGGGGGCAA